Molecule: ribosomal RNA, 404 nt
Filed under: Actinomycetes bacterium
Lineage: Bacteria; Bacillati; Actinomycetota; Actinomycetes
Description: Actinobacteria bacterium partial 16S ribosomal RNA
Rfam family: Bacterial small subunit ribosomal RNA
Source: RNAcentral
GGGGGAAUAUUGGACAAUGGGCGCAAGCCUGAUCCAGCCAUGCCGCGUGAGUGAUGAAGGCCCUAGGGUUGUAAAGCUCUUUCACCGGUGAAGAUAAUGACGGUAACCGGAGAAGAAGCCCCGGCUAACUUCGUGCCAGCAGCCGCGGUAAUACGAAGGGGGCUAGCGUUGUUCGGAUUUACUGGGCGUAAAGCGCACGUAGGCGGACUUUUAAGUCAGGGGUGAAAUCCCGGGGCUCAACCCCGGAACUGCCUUUGAUACUGGAAGUCUUGAGUAUGGUAGGGGUGAGUGGAAUUCCGAGUGUAGAGGUGAAAUUCGUAGAUAUUCGGAGGAACACCAGUGGCGAAGGCGGCUCACUGGACCAUUACUGACGCUGAGGUGCGAAAGCGUGGGGAGCAAACAGG